This 459-nucleotide ribosomal RNA is filed under the name uncultured bacterium. RNAcentral's name for it is "bacterial SSU rRNA". It matches the Rfam family "Bacterial small subunit ribosomal RNA", at positions 9 to 485 of the family's 1533-position model. The record is from RNAcentral.
GAGUUUGAUCCUGGCUCAGGACGAACGCUGGCGGCGUGCUUAACACAUGCAAGUCGAGCGAUGAAGCUCCUUCGGGAGUGGAUUAGCGGCGGACGGGUGAGUAACACGUGGGUAACCUGCCUCAUAGAGGGGAAUAGCCUUUCGAAAGGAAGAUUAAUACCGCAUAAGAUUGUAGUACCGCAUGGUAUAGCAAUUAAAGGAGUAAUCCGCUAUGAGAUGGACCCGCGUCGCAUUAGCUAGUUGGUGAGGUAACUGCUCACCAAGGCGACGAUGCGUAGCCGACCUGAGAGGGUGAUCGGCCACAUUGGGACUGAGACACGGCCCAGACUCCUACGGGAGGCAGCAGUGGGGAAUAUUGCACAAUGGGGGAAACCCUGAUGCAGCAACGCCGCGUGAGUGAUGACGGUCUUCGGAUUGUAAAACUCUGUCUUUAGGGACGAUAAUGACGGUACCUAAGGA